UCAAACUUGGUCAUUUAGAGGAAGUAAAAGUCGUAACAAGGUUUCCGUAGGUGAACCUGCGGAAGGAUCAUUACCAAGGUUUUUCGAAAGAUGUCGCCUCCCUCUCUCUCAAAGGGAGGAGGCGGCAUUGAUAAACCAUGAUACACCACUGUGUGCACUUAUUUGAACUAGAAAUUUUUGGGAGAGAGGAAGGGAGAGAAAUUUCUCUCCUCUCGCCAAAAAAUUAGUUCACAAAACUUUUUUCUACGCUUUACUGUUUGUCUGAACUAUUUAUUAUAUAUAUAAUACAACUUUCAACAACGGAUCUCUUGGCUCUCGCAUCGAUGAAGAACGCAGC
Molecule: unclassified non-coding RNA, 337 nt
Filed under: uncultured fungus
Lineage: Eukaryota; Fungi
Description: partial contains small subunit ribosomal RNA, internal transcribed spacer 1, and 5.8S ribosomal RNA
Rfam family: Eukaryotic small subunit ribosomal RNA (bases 1-73)
Source: RNAcentral